RNAcentral lists this ribosomal RNA (253 nucleotides) under uncultured bacterium. RNAcentral's name for it is "partial 16S ribosomal RNA". It matches the Rfam family "Bacterial small subunit ribosomal RNA", at positions 524 to 776 of the family's 1533-position model. The record is from RNAcentral.
UACGUAGGGGGCUAGCGUUGUCCGGAAUCAUUGGGCGUAAAGCGCGCGUAGGCGGCCAGAUAAGUCCGGUGUGAAAGUCACAGGCUCAACCUGUGAAUGCCGCUGGAAACUGUCUGGCUUGAGUCCGGAAGGGGCGAGUGGAAUUCCUGGUGUAGCGGUGAAAUGCGCAGAUAUCAGGAAGAACACCCGUGGCGAAGGCGGCUCUCUGGGACGGUACUGACGCUGAGACGCGAAAGCGUGGGGAGCGAACAGG